AAUUAUGGUGGGCUGAGCAGGGGCACCGUCAGGUGCGCUGGUUUCAGUGUAGCCGGUAGUUCCAACCCUGUUCAGUCCGCCACCUAC
Non-coding RNA from Yokenella regensburgei ATCC 43003, 87 nucleotides. NCBI's taxonomy places the organism in Bacteria, Pseudomonadati, Pseudomonadota, Gammaproteobacteria, Enterobacterales, Enterobacteriaceae. The record is from Rfam.